UUGGUUAGAGCGCGCGCUUGAUAAGCGUGAGGUCGGAAGUUCAAGUCUUCCCAGGCCCACCAUUUUGAUCGAGUGCGGAGCAUUCGUCUUCUGGUACGGGGCCAUAGCUCAGCUGGGAGAGCGCGUGCUUUGCAAGCAUGAGGUCGUCGGUUCGAUCCCGUCUGGCUCCACCAGAUGGAAUUGAAGCUCGAUAGCGCCUCGUUCAUUUCGUCCGCGAAACAUCACUUCGCACUCAUUGGUCCGGAUGGACGGUGACGUGCGUGUUUUCUGACAUCGUAAAGAGGAGAUCGAUCCGAGUUUGGAUCAAGCGAAGCAAUUCGCCUGAGCCAUUCAUUAUCUCCGGGAUCAUUUCGGCGCUCGCUUCAAUCGUGAGAUUGGAUGCGGGUUGUAAAUGAUCCCUUUUAGCGAAGCUUGACCGCCUCGCUAUCGGGCCGAUCUUACGAAGCAAGCUGGUCUUUCUAGUCAAUGUCCGGCUGCGCAAUCGCAUUCAUCGAGGAUGCGUGCCUGAGACUUCGGUCUUCGGGCAGUUGUGCAGACAACAUUCUGCCGAGUGUGUGGACAUUGAUAAUGAGAGCAAUCAAGUGCCUUAAGGGUGUUCGGUGGAUGCCUUGGCGCUGAGAGGCGAUGAAGGACGUGCUACGCUGCGAUAAGCCGUGGGGAGCUGCGAAGAAGCUUUGAUCCGCGGAUUUCCGAAU
RNAcentral lists this unclassified non-coding RNA (695 nucleotides) under Bradyrhizobium sp. STM 3093. RNAcentral's name for it is "partial 16S-23S ribosomal RNA intergenic spacer". The stretch from base 576 to 695 matches the Rfam family "Bacterial large subunit ribosomal RNA", at positions 1 to 119 of the family's 2925-position model. The record is from RNAcentral. Lineage: Bacteria; Pseudomonadati; Pseudomonadota; Alphaproteobacteria; Hyphomicrobiales; Nitrobacteraceae.